This 1004-nucleotide ribosomal RNA is filed under the name Anoplophora macularia. Its description in RNAcentral is "partial 16S ribosomal RNA". Lineage: Eukaryota; Metazoa; Arthropoda; Insecta; Coleoptera; Cerambycidae. The record is from RNAcentral.
UUUUUAAAAUAUUAUUUUUAAUUUUUAAUUAAAUUUAAUUAAAAAAAAUAAUUAUUUUUUAGUAAAAAUAUGAAAAAAUUAGGUUAAUUAUAGAUUAUUAGUAUUGAGAAAGAAUUAUCUUUAAAAUUUAAAAAGAAGAAGGGAUUUUGUACCUUGUGUAUCAGGGUUUAUUAAAUUAGAUUAAAAUAAUAUUUUCUCGAAUUUAAAAGAGUUAAAAUAAUAUAAUUUUAUUGUAGAAUAAAUAUUUAAAAUAUUAUUUUUGAAAUGAAACGUUAUACGUUUUUAAUAUAUCUAGUUAUUUAAGAAAAAAAUUAAAUUUUAUUAUUAUUAAUAUAAAAUUAAUUUUAUAAUGAUAUAUUAUUAAUAUUUAAUUUAUAAAGGGAUAAGCUUUUAUAAAAAUUAUUAAAAUUUUAUAUUUUUAGGAAAAAUUAUAGGAUUAGUAGUUUCUAUUAUUAAAAUAAUGUUAUAGUUGAUUUUAUUAAAUUAUUAUUUAUAUAAAUUUUAAAUAGUUUAUUAAAUUGAAAAUUAUAAUUUAAUUAAAUUUUGAAAUAAUGAUAAAAUUAGUAAAAUAUAAUAUAAAAAUAGAUAAAAAGAUAAAGGUUAAAUAAAGGAAUUCGGCAAAAGAUUUUUCACCUGUUUAUUAAAAACAUGGCCUUUUGAUAAUAAUUUAAGGUCUGACCUGCCCACUGAGGAAUUUAAAGGCCGCGGUAAAUUGACCGUGCUAAGGUAGCAUAAUCAUUAGUUUUUUAAAUGGAAGCUGGAAUGAAUGGUUGGAUGAAAAAAUAACUGUCUCUAUUUAAUUUAGAAUGAAUUUUAUUUUUAAGUAAAAAAGCUUACAUUUAUUUAAAAGACGAGAAGACCCUAUAGAGUUUUAUAAAAAUUUAAAUUUUGGUUUUUUAGAAUUAUUAUUUUAUAAUUUAAAUUAUAUUUGAUUGGGGCGAUUGGAAAAUUUAAUUAACUUUUUUUAUAAAUUUUACAUAAAUUAAUGAAAAAUUGAUCCAUAA